GAAUCCAGAUGACAAAAAUAGAUUAAUUUUUUAUGUAGUGCACUGCGGUUAAUCCUUGUGCUCACAGUACACUUUAUUUAGAAUCACUGCAGAAUUCCUCCUCUGAUUUUUCUCCCUGAAAUUAGACUGUAAUGAUAUGCUUCAGACUUCACAGGAGCCUAAAGAUCUUAAACCUGUAUGUCCUGAGCUACCACAUCAGUCAGAAGCAUACCUUUCUUUUUCUUUACAGGCAUCUCUAAGCGACAAAAUCUAGUAUUUGGACACAAGGAGUUGUGAACUACCUGGAUCAAGAAGAUAGCUCAGGUCUGACCUAAAAAGUAGUGAAAUAUAAGGUUUCAAAUGCAUUUUGUAAGAUUUGUAAAUGAAAACAAAAAAAAUAAAAAAAAAAAAAAGGAAAUAU
This 400-nucleotide long non-coding RNA is filed under the name Ficedula albicollis (Collared flycatcher). RNAcentral's name for it is "lncRNA (ENSFALG00000026668.1)". Lineage: Eukaryota; Metazoa; Chordata; Aves; Passeriformes; Muscicapidae. The record is from RNAcentral.